CUACGGGGUGCUGCAGUGAGGAAUAUUGCACAAUGGGGGGAACCCUGAUGCAGCAACGCCGCGUGGAGGAUGACGCAUUUCGGUGUGUAAACUCCUUUUAUAUGUCAAGAAAAUGACGGUAGCAUAUGAAUAAGCACCGGCCAACUCCGUGCCAGCAGCCGCGGUAAUACGGAGGGUGCAAGCGUUACUCGGAAUCACUGGGCGUAAAGGACGCGUAGGCGGGUUGGAAAGUCAGGUGUGAAAUCCUACAGCCUAACUGUAGAACUGCACUUGAAACUUCUAAUCUAGAGUAUGGGAGGGGGAGAUGGAAUUAGUGGUGUAGGGGUAAAAUCCGUAGAUAUCACUAGGAAUACCUAAAGCGAAGGCGAUCUACUGGAACAUUACUGACGCUAAGGCGUGAAAGCGUGGGGAGCAAACAGGAUUAGAUACCCCUGUAGUC
This 439-nucleotide ribosomal RNA is filed under the name uncultured bacterium. RNAcentral's name for it is "partial 16S ribosomal RNA". It matches the Rfam family "Bacterial small subunit ribosomal RNA", at positions 339 to 795 of the family's 1533-position model. The record is from RNAcentral.